RNAcentral lists this ribosomal RNA (257 nucleotides) under uncultured bacterium. Its description in RNAcentral is "partial 16S ribosomal RNA". It matches the Rfam family "Bacterial small subunit ribosomal RNA", at positions 524 to 776 of the family's 1533-position model. The record is from RNAcentral.
UAAAGAGGUCCCAAGCGUUGUUCGGAUUCACUGGGCGUAAAGGGUGCGUAGGUGGCCAGGUAAGUUCGGUGUGAAAGCUCGGAGCUCAACUCCGAAAUGUCAUUGAAUACUAUCUGGCUUUAUUGAGGGUCGGAGGGGAGACUGGAAUUCUCGGUGUAGCAGUGAAAUGCGUAGAUAUCGAGAGGAACACCAGUGGCGAAGGCGAGUCUCUGGACGACACCCGACACUGAGGCACGAAAGCUAGGGGAGCAAACAGG